CCUUAAAUUUUUAGUGCGCAAAGUACCAAUGAAACAACAAUUGUAGGUAAGUAUUCCAUCACCGGUUAUUUAAUGUUUAAAACAUAACAUUGUCAUUUUUUUAGUACAAAAAGUACCAAUAAAAUUACUAUUUAUACACAAAAUACCAACAAAAUACUCAUGUGUUCAAAUAAAACCUUAUGGUAAUCGGUUACUUUAGAUAAACGGAAAAAUGUUAUAAAAGUGUAACAAAAUUUCCAAAAUGUUUUAAAAAACACAACACUUUUUUAUAACUUAUCAGAUUAUGUAGAACACAAUUAUCGGAGAUCAUGCACCGUCAUUUCAGUUCACAACAAUGGUACAAUCUCUUUCAUUCCCUCACACGAUCAUUCUUAUAGUAACAUGAGAAGUGGUAUGCCUCAAACCUAAAACAUUAUUGCUUGCAGAUCGUAGGAUAUGCCUCAUACCUAAAACAUAUAUACAUAGAUAAAAUUAUUAUACAUCAAUGUUAAUUGUUCAUUAAUAUCACAGCAUAAAAGAAACACAAAAGAGAAACAAAUGUCAUGAGAAUUCCAAAAUGAGGAUGUAGAGAAUGAGUUACAUUUAAUUCUGCUUGACCAUAGUAUCAUGUGGCUAAUUUGAUAAUGAUUUAUAAUCAACAUACAUAAAAGAAUAUGUGUCGGUAAACAAUAUUGGAUUUGCUUAAUCCAAAAACAACAAAGUUAACAAAAGAAACUCAAAAUAACGAUUUUUUUGAACAUUUUAGAAACUACAAUAGUUUUUUAGAACUUUUUUUGUUCUAAAAUGUAUACUUUGUAUUCUAUAUAAAAAUGAUAUAUUCUUAAUGGUAUUUUUUGCACAAAAAAAUACAACAUUUUGAAAACUUUAUUAACCUUUAGGUCAUUUUUCUAUUUACACAAAAUAACAAGUUAAAACAAAGUUUUACUCCAAAACAUGUAUACUUCAUUGGUAUUCUUGUACAUUUGUUACAGUAUAUAUUUGCGAUCACAAAUGUUUUAAAAUCUUCAGAACUCGUAAUCAAUCGAUAUGUUUUCCAUUUGGAGGUCAAUGUCAAGACUAAGAACAUUUUGAAGUGUUGGUCUCCUAUAACAUAUAUAUAUUCGUUAUGUUUAAGUAGAGUUAUGAUCAACUUAGGUUUUUUGGUUUUAAUUUAAUCAAUUUUAACUAAUUUAAAUUCAAAUAGCCCAAAUGCUAUCAAUUUAGAUAGCAAUGUAUGAAUUAUUAGAGAAUGUUUUUCUCACGGCCAAUCCCAAGAGGUAAUAGCAUAAGCAGCUCCCCAAGGCGAUAGGAUGUGACAACGCCAUCUCCGGCCAACGGGUUCCUUCCGGUGAUGGAAGGCUCGACCGUUGUGAUGCCGUAAAAGGCUCAAUACAUGACGAUUUAUCAUUGGAUUUUACGAAACCCUAAUUCUUCGCCCCAAUUUUUUGUAAUUCGUCGAUAUAGUGCAAAGUUGAAAACCUAAAGUUAGAGAGUGGAGUGUUGUAUUGAUGUAACCAUUAAGGCGAAUACUCAGAAGCCAAGCGUAACAAAAAUAUUUCAUUGAAGAAAUUCAACACAAAGUUGAGUUUCUACUUACAUGUUAGCUUUCUCAUCACUGCAUUCCAUAACUUAUUCAAUAAAGUAGACAAUUUUCAAAAAUCUAAAACACAUAAAUAGAUCAAAAUCCAAUCCAAUUAGACCUAAAUGUGUGGUUAAAAUAUUUAGAUUUAGGCUUUUUAAAAAAGAAAAUAGUGGAACUCAAUAAGAAGUGGAUGUAGCUACUUGUAAUUUGAAGGAAGAUGUGCAAAAACAACUUCCUCCAAUCGUGUUAAGUAGCAACUUGUUGGCACCGUGCAAAAGGCGGCUUGUUUUCAUGUUUCAACAAAGCCCCUGUGUCUGAGUAUGCCUUUCUAUUAACAUCCAUCCUAAUUUAGAGACUAAUGAAUCCUUCAAAACUUUCAUGGGAGAUGAAAUUUACAAAAAAAAAAUGUAUCCGAUUAAUUGUGUCUUGAAAAAAUUAACAGAAAUUUUCAUGGAUCUUCAACCGGAAUUGAAUCUAGGCUCUAAGCGGCAGUCAAGUCGCCAACAAAUCGGCGCCUGCUGUUGACUCUGAUGAUAGAGCCGUAAAAACGAAAAUCAUAGAGUAGAAAACAAGUAUUUGUUUAGAAGAAUUCGUAGCCUAAAAUAACUUCAUUUUAUUGAAAAACGAUGUAAAAAAAUAUAUUGAUUUGAAUGAGAUAAGAAGCUCUUACACUAACAAGAUAACUGAGAACUGAUCAGAGAAAACGAAAAUCAGCGGCAGAUGAAACUACUUUAUGAUCUGCUUGUGUUGUAACUGGAAUAUAUAAAGACUAUGGCUUGUGAUUGGUGGUUCAAAAACCCUAAAAAUGGAGGCGAUGGGAAUCGAAG
Molecule: long non-coding RNA, 2388 nt
Filed under: Lactuca sativa (garden lettuce)
Lineage: Eukaryota; Viridiplantae; Streptophyta; Magnoliopsida; Asterales; Asteraceae
Description: long non-coding RNA (LSAT_LNC006241)
Source: RNAcentral